Molecule: ribosomal RNA, 283 nt
Filed under: uncultured eukaryote
Lineage: Eukaryota
Description: partial 18S ribosomal RNA
Rfam family: Eukaryotic small subunit ribosomal RNA
Source: RNAcentral
CCCUUAGAUAUCCUGGGCUGCACGCGUGCUACAAUUAGUAUUUCAAUUGGCUAAUCUGAAGAGCAUAUGAAUCCAAAAAUAUACUUUAAGUAGGGAUAAGAUAUUGUAAUUAUUUUCUUUGAACAAGGAAUUCCUAGUAAAGUUAAUUCAUUAUAUUAAUUUGAUUAUGUCCCUGCCCUUUGUACACACCGCCCGUCGCUCCUACUGAUUGGAUAGUCCGAUAAUUUUAGAAUAUAGUGAUCUAAGAAAAUCUAACUAUUUAGAGGAAGGAAAAGUCGUANCA